RNAcentral lists this unclassified non-coding RNA (348 nucleotides) under soil metagenome. RNAcentral describes it as "partial contains 5.8S ribosomal RNA, internal transcribed spacer 2, and large subunit ribosomal RNA". The stretch from base 1 to 120 matches the Rfam family "5.8S ribosomal RNA", at positions 35 to 154 of the family's 154-position model. The record is from RNAcentral.
GAUGAAGAACGGAGCGAAAUGCGAUAAGUAAUGUGAAUUGCAGAAUUCAGUGAAUCAUCGAAUCUUUGAACGCACAUUGCGCCCGCCAGUAUUCUGGCGGGCAUGCCUGUCUGAGCGUCAUUUCAACCCUCAUGCCCCUAGGGCGUGGUGUUGGGGAUCGGCCAAAGCCCGCGAGGGACGGCCGGCCCCUAAAUCUAGUGGCGGACCCGUCGUGGCCUCCUCUGCGAAGUAGUGAUAUUCCGCAUCGGAGAGCGAUGAGCCCCUGCCGUUAAACCCCCAACUUUCCAAGGUUGACCUCAGAUCAGGGAGGAAUACCCGCUGAACUUAAGCAUAUCAAUAAGCGGAGGA